GGGUUGUGAGGUUAAGCGACUAAGCGUACACGGUGGAUGCCCUGGCAGUCAGAGGCGAUGAAGGGCGUGCUAAUCUGCGAUAAGCGCCGGUAAGGUGAUAUGAACCGUUAUAACCGGCGAUACCCGAAUGGGGAAACCCAGUGUGAUUCGUCACACUAUCAUUAACUGAAUCCAUAGGUUAAUGAGGCGAACCGGGGGAACUGAAACAUCUAAGUACCCCGAGGAAAAGAAAUCAACCGAGAUUCCCCCAGUAGCGGCGAGCGAACGGGGAGGAGCCCAGAGCCUGAAUCAGCAUGUGUGUUAGUGGAAGCGUCUGGAAAGGCGCGCGAUACAGGGUGACAGCCCCGUACACAAAAGCGCAUGUGCUGUGAGCUCGAUGAGUAGGGCGGGACACGUGGUAUCCUGUCUGAAUAUGGGGGGACCAUCCUCCAAGGCUAAAUACUCCUGACUGACCGAUAGUGAACCAGUACCGUGAGGGAAAGGCGAAAAGAACCCCGGCGAGGGGAGUGAAAAAGAACCUGAAACCGUGUACGUACAAGCAGUGGGAGCACAGGUUUACCUGUGUGACUGCGUACCUUUUGUAUAAUGGGUCAGCGACUUAUAUUCUGUAGCAAGGUUAACCGUAUAGGGGAGCCGUAGGGAAACCGAGUCUUAACCGGGCGUUAAGUUGCAGGGUAUAGACCCGAAACCCGGUGAUCUAGCCAUGGGCAGGUUGAAGGUUGGGUAACACUAACUGGAGGACCGAACCGACUAAUGUUGAAAAAUUAGCGGAUGACCUGUGGCUGGGGGUGAAAGGCCAAUCAAACCGGGAGAUAGCUGGUUCUCCCCGAAAGCUAUUUAGGUAGCGCCUCGUGAACUCAUCUCCGGGGGUAGAGCACUGUUUCGGCUAGGGGGCCAUCCCGGCUUACCAACCCGAUGCAAACUGCGAAUACCGGAGAAUGUUAUCACGGGAGACACACGGCGGGUGCUAACGUCCGUCGUGAAGAGGGAAACAACCCAGACCGCCAGCUAAGGUCCCAAAGUCAUGGUUAAGUGGGAAACGAUGUGGGAAGGCCCAGACAGCCAGGAUGUUGGCUUAGAAGCAGCCAUCAUUUAAAGAAAGCGUAAUAGCUCACUGGUCGAGUCGGCCUGCGCGGAAGAUGUAACGGGGCUAAACCAUGCACCGAAGCUGCGGCAGCGACACUGAUGUGUUGUUGGGUAGGGGAGCGUUCUGUAAGCCUGUGAAGGUGGCCUGUGAGGGUUGCUGGAGGUAUCAGAAGUGCGAAUGCUGACAUAAGUAACGAUAAAGCGGGUGAAAAGCCCGCUCGCCGGAAGACCAAGGGUUCCUGUCCAACGUUAAUCGGGGCAGGGUGAGUCGACCCCUAAGGCGAGGCCGAAAGGCGUAGUCGAUGGGAAACGGGUUAAUAUUCCCGUACUUGGUGUUACUGCGAAGGGGGGACGGAGAAGGCUAUGUUGGCCGGGCGACGGUUGUCCCGGUUUAAGCGUGUAGGUGUGUGUUCCAGGUAAAUCCGGUUCACUUUAACACUGAGGCGUGACGACGAGGCACUACGGUGCUGAAGCAACAAAUGCCCUGCUUCCAGGAAAAGCCUCUAAGCAUCAGGUAACAUCAAAUC
Molecule: ribosomal RNA, 1613 nt
Filed under: Salmonella enterica subsp. enterica serovar Mbandaka
Lineage: Bacteria; Pseudomonadati; Pseudomonadota; Gammaproteobacteria; Enterobacterales; Enterobacteriaceae
Description: bacterial LSU rRNA
Rfam family: Bacterial large subunit ribosomal RNA
Source: RNAcentral